AACCUGCUAAAUAGACCCCCUGCCUUCUGGGGAGGGGCUGUCUUCUUAGAGGGACUAUCGGCUUUUAGCCGAUGGAAGUUUGAGGCAAUAACAGGUCUGUGAUGCCCUUAGACGUUCUGGGCCGCACGCGUGCUACACUGACCAAGCCAGCGAGUUCUUCCUUGGCCGGAAGGCCUGGGUAAUCUUGUGAAACUUGGUCGUGAUGGGGAUAGAGCAUUGCAAUUAUUGCUCUUCAACGAGGAAUGCCUAGUAAGCGCAAGUCAUCAGCUUGCGUUGAUUACGUCCCUGGUCUUUGUACACACCGCCCGUCGC
Molecule: ribosomal RNA, 312 nt
Filed under: uncultured fungus
Lineage: Eukaryota; Fungi
Description: bacterial SSU rRNA
Rfam family: Eukaryotic small subunit ribosomal RNA
Source: RNAcentral